CCUACGGGAGGCAGCAGUGAGGAAUAUUGGUCAAUGGACGGGAGCCUGAACCAGCCAAGUCGCGUGCGGGACGACGGCUCUAUGGGUUGUAAACCGCUUUUGUCCGAGGAUAAACCCCGCUACGUGUAUCGGGUUGAGUGUACCCUACGAAUAAGCAUCGGCUAACUCCGUGCCAGCAGCCGCGGUAAUACGGAGGAUCCGAGCGUUAUCCGGAUUUAUUGGGGUUAAAGGGUGCGUAGGCGGUUCGGUAAGUUAGCGGUGAAAUGUCCGGGCUCAACCCCGUAACAGCCUCUAAUACUGGUGGUCUAGAGAAGAGUAGCGGUAGGCGGAAUGUAUGGUGUAGCGGUGAAAUGCUUAGAGAUCACGCAGAACACCGAUUGCGAAGGCAGCAUACCAAACUACAUCUGACGUUGAGGCACGAAAGCGUGGGUAGCGAACAGGAUUAGAUACCCGGGUAGUC
This 460-nucleotide ribosomal RNA is filed under the name uncultured bacterium. RNAcentral's name for it is "partial 16S ribosomal RNA". It matches the Rfam family "Bacterial small subunit ribosomal RNA", at positions 338 to 795 of the family's 1533-position model. The record is from RNAcentral.